This 1518-nucleotide long non-coding RNA is filed under the name Monodelphis domestica (gray short-tailed opossum). Its description in RNAcentral is "lncRNA (ENSMODG00000036579.1)". The record is from RNAcentral. Lineage: Eukaryota; Metazoa; Chordata; Mammalia; Didelphimorphia; Didelphidae.
UCGUCUGGAUUUCCCUAGCGCUGAGUGUUGCGUCACCAGCCUGAGCGCGAGGCCCUGUGGGAAAUGUAGUCCCGGCCAAGAGCUCAGCCCCGGAGACACCUUCAAAUGUGGAGGGAGGAGCAAAGAGAAAGAGAAUGGAAAAAAGGGGAAAGAGGGAAGAGGAGAGGAAGAGGGAGGAGGGGGAAGGGGAAGAAGAAAGAGGUCGGAGGAAGAGGAUCACAGCUUUGUCAGAUGGGGAAACUGAGGAAGACAAGUGAAGUGACUUGCCCAAGAUCACACAGCUAAAAAGAAAGAGUCCCGCUUCUUAGGAACUCGCUGCUCCCGGAAUCAGGAAGUCCUAAGUGCAAAAACUAUCUCAGAUAAUGAUUAGCUAGCUGUGUCACCCAGGGGAAGUCACAACCUCUGUUUGUAAAAUGGGAGUAAUAUCUCGCAGGGGUGUUAUGGAUACUAAAUGAAAUUGUAAAGCACUUUGCAAACUUAAAUUGCCACAUAAAUGCUAGCUAUUUUUAUUAAUAUUAUUUUAACAGACGGGCAACAUCCCUAGAAGGUUUCAUCUGCAGGAAAGAUCGGAAUAACAAAAAUAUACAAAAGCCGGCCUGGGCAAGGCAUAUAACCAUUUUUGUCCGUGGUAUUCCCUCCAAUCAAGAUUUGGGGUGCCUCGGUCCGCAGUGGAGGGGACUCAGCCUGCGAAAACCUAGCGGAAGAUAGAUAGACUAGCGGGCUAGUCUGCUAGCACGAGAUGGCUAGAGGAAGCCGGGUUUCGCAAAACAGUUUAACUGUGCGUUUCUUAAAAUGCCAGAGCGAGGCGGGCCAGCCCCAUUUCUCCGGGCUGCAGGGAUCCGCCCACCUGAGGAGCUUUCCCUUCCCCCAUGAUGAGGUCAUGGGGAGGAGCUGAGAACCCUAAGCCCACCUCCUCAUGAAGAAAUUCACCAAAGAGGGACUGUCCGGGCGGGCCGAAUGAUGCGCUCUCGAGCCAAUCAGAAGGAAGACACACCUAGUAAUAUUCUGAGAAGAGAUCCAAUGUCAUCAGAGUCCAGUGGCAAAACAAAAGUCAGGAGAGACCAGGGGGAUAUCCAAGAAAUAUUAAUGACCCCUGCCUCCCAAGGAUGCAGGCUAACUGAGGAGACAAGUUAUACACAGGAGAUAAGACAGAUGAGAUGCCUCCUCCAGAACUCUCCAGAUCAGUUCCCCUUACCUCCCAAAUGAUAUUUAUUCGGCAUUUGUUUUGUAUUUAUUUACCUCCAUAGACAUAUUCUCAGAAGGACAGAAAUUCCUUAUAAAAGCAUGAUUUAUUCUCCCCCCCCCCCCAUGCCUAGCUUGGUACCUGGCACAAAAUAAGCAUUCAGUUGUUGAACUGAAUUUAAUCUGAUCUGACUAGGGGCUUCCUGACUUCAGGUAUGUCUCCUUCAAUCCAGGGGAAUUCCCUAAGCAAGGAUUAUUAACCUGGAAUCUGUGAACUUAAGCAUUUAAAACACAAAAAAAGUUAGAAAAUGGCAUCUCAUUAAAAUUGGUUUCAUU